UACGUAGGGUGCGAGCGUUUAAUCGGAAUUACUGGGCGUAAAGCGUGCGCAGGCGGCGCGUUAAGACAGGUGUGAAAGCCCCGAGCUUAACUUGGGAAUUGCGCUUGUGACUGGCGAGCUGGAGUGUGGCAGAGGGAGGUGGAAUUCCACGUGUAGCAGUGAAAUGCGUAGAGAUGUGGAGGAACACCGAUGGCGAAGGCAGCCUCCUGGGCCAGCACUGACGCUCAUGCACGAAAGCGUGGGGAGCAAACAGGA
RNAcentral lists this ribosomal RNA (255 nucleotides) under uncultured bacterium. Its description in RNAcentral is "partial 16S ribosomal RNA". It matches the Rfam family "Bacterial small subunit ribosomal RNA", at positions 524 to 777 of the family's 1533-position model. The record is from RNAcentral.